RNAcentral lists this ribosomal RNA (253 nucleotides) under uncultured bacterium. RNAcentral describes it as "partial 16S ribosomal RNA". It matches the Rfam family "Bacterial small subunit ribosomal RNA", at positions 524 to 776 of the family's 1533-position model. The record is from RNAcentral.
UACGUAGGUGACAAGCGUUGUCCGGAUUUACUGGGCGUAAAGAGCGCGCAGGCGGUCGUUCAAGUCGAGUGUGAAAGCCCCCGGCUCAACUGGGGAGGGUCAUUCGAUACUGAUCGACUCGAAGGCAGGAGAGGGAAGUGGAAUUCCCGGUGUAGUGGUGAAAUGCGUAGAUAUCAGGAGGAAGACCAGUUGCGAAGGCGACUCUCUGGGCAAUUCCUGACACUGAGGCACGAAGGCUAGGGGAGCAAACGGG